AAUGGACAUUGACAAGCACAUUUGAAAAUUUAUAUGGAAAUGUAAAGCACUUAAAUAGUCAAAACAUUUGUUUAAAAGAACAAAACUGGAGGGUUUACAAUACCAUGUCAAGACUUACCAUAAACUACAGUAAUUAAAAAAGUAUGGUACUGAUGCAAGAAUGGAUAAUUAGUCCAAGUGGAAAGAACAGAGUCCAGAAACAGACCCAAAUAUAUGACCAUUCAUUUAUUAACAAAGUCCCCACGCAAUUCAAUGGGAAAAGAAAGGUGUUGUUUUUUUCAAUAAAUGUGUAGAGUAGAUGGAUGUCCAUAUACAAAAUAAAUCUUGAUCCCCCCCUCACACCAUACACAAAAAUCAACUGGUGAUAAUCACAGAUCCAACAGCUAAAACUAUAAAGUUUCUGGAGGAAAACAAAGGCAAAUGUCUUCAAAAUCUUGAGAGUGGGCUGGGCGCGGUGGCUCACACCUGUAAUCCCAGCACUUUGGGAGGCCAAGGCGGGUGGAUCACGAGGUCAGGAGAUCAAGACCAUCCUGGCCAACGCGGUGAAACCCCGUCUGUACUAAAAAUACAAAAAAUUAUCCAGGCAUAGUGGUGGGUGAACACAGCCCAAUAAAAUUUUAUAAACAGAAACAUGCAGUGGGUUGGAAUUGGCCCACAGGCCAUAGUUUGCCAACCCUUGAUACAAAGCAAAAAUAAAAAACAAACAAAAAUUCUUAUACAUGCAACAUGGAUGAAUACAAUGUGAACAAAAGAAUAAACUGUAUGACUCCGUUUAUAUGAAGUUUAAAAACAUUUGAAAAUAAUACAUGGUCAUAGAAAUCGGGACAGUAGUUGACUGGGGGAAGCGAGUGGCUCCAUUGAUAGGAAGGGGCAGAAGGAAUGAAAAUGUUUUAUAUGUUUAUCUGGGUAGUAAUCACAAAGGUAUACACAUAUGUAAAUUUCACCAAGCUACACACUUUUUUUUGUUGUACAUAAAUUAUAGAACUAAAAAACAUAUGUAGAAUUCAACAUGGAUAAAAAAUAUAUUAAAUACAUUAAAUCUACCUUAAAAGAUGUGGGUGAUAGAGUGAGGAAGUCUAACAGAAGUCUAAUCAUAGCUCCUAAAGAAUAGGACAAAAAUGUGUGAAAAUAAAGAGAUAAAAGACAAAACUUUCCUGAAUUAAUGAAACAUAAACCUUAGAGACAGGAGAUUUUAUUCAUAUAUAUAUAUACAUUUAUAUAAAUAUAUUUAAUUUUUAUAUAAACUCUACAGAGAGAUUAUAUAUAAUCUAUAUAUAAAGUGUAUGUGUAUAUAUUAUAUAUAUACACACACCUACAUACAUUGCCUCAAAAGUCUGUGAGUACAAAUUAUUCUUGAUGAUACAAGGAGCAGUUAAAACCAUAAAGCAAUUCUCGAAUUUCAAAGAAUUGUUGGCCUUGACACGUAUGCUAACUACAGUGCAAAUUAGAAAUCAGUAACAAAAGGAUAACUCACAAAACCUUCCACAUUGGAACUAGACUACUUUCUACAAAUCUCUUAGGGGAAGAAAAAAUAUCACAAUGAAAAAAUCUUAAAUUCUUAGAACUGAACAAUAUACUACAUAGAAAGCAGCAGUAAAUGAAAAUCUGCAGUAUUUUCAAAUGACAAAUAAACCAGGAUUAACAGCCUGGAAAUAAGCCCAAACAUAUCUGGGUACUGUAUGUGACAGAAGUGGCACUGCUAAUCACUGAUAUUGGGACAAUUACCUUUUCAUGUGGGAAUCUGAAAAUUAAUUAAGCUUGAUCUCAUAACAUAAAAUAUAUACAUCUCAAUAUAUACAUGUCUCAGGUAAAUUAAAGAACAAAAUGUGGACAAAACAUAAACUUAAAAAUUCUUAGAAAAAUAUUCAGAAUACAUUUCAUUAAUAGUAGAGUAUCUUAAGACAAAAAGCAUAAGGAUUAAUGUCUACAGUUUAAUAUCUGCAAGUAUAUAACAAAUAUUUGUAUCCAGAAUGUUUUCCAAUAUAAAUUUCUGCAAUGAUGGAAAUAUUCUGUUCUAUAAUGUAUAAUGUAAAAUAUAUAACAUAAUAAAAUAUAAUAAAAUAUUAAAGUCAUAUGAGGCUAUUGAGCACUAAAAAUGUGGCCUGAAAGAACUGAGGAACAGAAAUUAUUGAGGUAAAUACAAUAUGUUAGCAUUUUAAAACGCUGAAAGUCUGUAAAGUUCUGUGAUUUUUAUAUACUUUUUAGUAUUUCGUUUUUCAUAACAAAAUUUGAUUUUAGCUAAAAUUACUAUAUAAAAUAUUCCAGUUGUGUACAAAACAUGUAAAUGUGACUUUUGGGAAAGCAAACACACCAAAUGAUGUUUUCUCCUAAAUGCUUUUUGAAAUAUUAUAAAUUAAGUUAUAAGAAUACAUAAAGAAUAAUUUAAUGAAUACUGGUAUGUCCACCAUGGAAUUUAUGAAAUAAAACAUUACUGAUAAAUUCCCUAGGUACUCCUCCCUGAGCAAGAUUUUUUUUUUCUAAAAAGAAGCCAGGAAAUAAGAAUAACAGACGGAGAGCCCUAGACUCAGGCUUCUUCAGUUUGCAACACCCAUAUUUUAACAUAUUUGGGGGGAAAUGUAACAUUCAAACCCAGUGUGUAUCAUUUAACAAAGAGUUACAAAGCAAACACCCAUGUAACCAUUGCACAGGUCAGGCGAUAAAGCAUUUCCAGCAUCUCUGAGCCCCUGACCCUCUCCUCCCCACUAGGAGAUGACCAUUAGCUUGACUUUUUUUCUUUACUACUUUUAAUGCCUAUACAUGCAUCCCUAAACAACAGCUUUGCUCCACCAGGUUCUGAAUUUUACAUAGAAGAUAUCACACAGCAUUCUCCGGCAACUUUUUUUUUUUUUGGUUCAACACUGAAAGGCAUUUGUGUUGAAACACAAAAAUACUUCAUUGGCCACUGUACAGUGUGCCCUUUUUAUGAGUGGUGUAUAAUUUAUCUUUCUCCUUCAGGUAGGCAUGAAGGCGGCAUCCAGUUUUCUGCCAUUACAGUCAACCUUCUUGUACACGUCUGCUUGUGGACAUGUAUUAAAAUUUAUCUAGGGCAGUGGCUUUCAAACUUUUUUGUCCAUGACUCAUACUAAGGAAUGACGUUUUACAUCAUGACACACAUUUGUGUAUGUAUGAAACUGAGGAGGGGGAGAGAGAUUCAUAAAGCGAACACCCCUAUGACCUGAGAGACACUGAUGUUCUAUUCUCCGUCUGUGUUUUACAAAUUCUGAUCAUCCAUUUAAAUGACUUUACGACCCACUAAAAUGGACUUCAAAUUCUGAAAAACAUUGUUCUUAAGGAUGAAUACCCAGGCGUGCAACUGCUGGAUCAGGAAACACGGACAUCGGACGUCGUCAACUUUUCCAGAUCCUUAACUGUUAAAUGUUCUUAUCUAAGCGCAUAUAAAUUUACCACUAUUUAACUUCAGAGCGAAAAGCGUGAAACAUCAGAGAACAUUUUAUCUUUUCCCUCGGUCAUUAAACAGUAUUAAUCACUUACCAUGUGCUAAGUAAGCAAUCUCUGAGCCCAGCGAGACCGGUGGGUUAAUACGCGGAGGGGCUGCGGGGGAGGACUUAGGGGACCAGGACCUCAGUGAGGCCCCAGAAAGCACCCGGGAGGGGCCUCCGAUCCUGCCUGGGAGGGAGGGGUUAGAGGAGGAUUCCUGGAAGAAGGAGGACCUAAGCUGGGUGUUUCUAUUUUUGAUUUUUAUUGGUUUCCUAAAACAUGAAAGUAACACAUUUGAUGAGAAAAAAUAUUCAAAAUUACAGGAGUAUAUUCAGUAAAAGGUAGAAAUCCCCAUUCCGCCCUGAAAGUUGGAUGCGGAGACUAACAGAAGUCGCAUUAUCAGCUGUCCCGAUCUAGGAAAUUUUUAGGACCCCACGUUUUUAAAUACUUUUAAGAGUAUGUCUGAUACAGUCUGUAAUACUAAAGCAUCAAAAUAAUCAUAUUUUCCAUAAGAGACGAAAGUGCAAACAGUUACUGUCUAGUCCCAUUAUUACUUGGAACAGACUUUUUCUUCUUUUCCUUGUUCUGUUUUUUUCCUGGCCCGUUGGCGAGGUUAGAGCGCCAGGUUGUAAGAAUCGGGUCUGUGGACCUCAUACCAGAUAGGCGCGAACGCCUCUGGCAGCGGCGUCCAGGGGGUCCGGCGGCACUCGCGGUGGGGCUGCCUGGGUUGCGGGUGACGAUCUGCGGGGUCCCGCACCCGGCCCCGCGGAGCCCGGACCCGCACGUAGGCGGCGCGGCAAAGGCACACCCUCCUCGCGGCCGCGAACCCAGCGCCGUCCUCGCAGCGCGGCAAUGCACGGCCACCGCUGCCCCCAGCCCGCCCGCCGCAGCCGCGAGCACCCAAACACCUACCCUGCGGGGCGACGACCCCCGGAGCUCAGGCGAGGCCGCUCGGGCGUGCCACCUCCGCGGCCAUGACGGCGACCCGGGGAAGCGCCCCGCGCGCCAAGGCCCCGCGCUGCUGAGCUGUGAGCACGGCUGCCCCGUCCGUCCGUCCGUCCAGCACCCGCCCGGAGAGUGAGGCCAGAGCACGCCCCAGCCGUGUCUAAAUCAAGGCUCGGGGCGGUACCGACGGGCUGAAUGACAAAUGGCAGAUGCCGUGGGCUUUGCCGCCCGCGGCAGCCAAGAGGAUGGCUGCGCCGAGGAGGCCGCGCGCAGGCGGGGCUCGGGAGCCGGAACGGCGCGGCCGCGAGGAGGGCGCUGGGGCCCCUGGCGGGGGCGUCACGUGGCAGGAGGAGGCCCCGCCGGGGAGCUGGGGGUCGGCGGCCGAGGCGGGGGGAGCUGAGCGGCACCCACACGUCCUGCGGGCCGGGUCACCGGUGGGGGCAAAGCCAAGGUCGCCCAGGUACAGCGCUGGCGCAGGUAGACCCGAGCCGGCCUGGGGUCUGCAGCGGGGCCUGCUAGCCGAAGUCUCCGCCAGGAUGGGCCGCCAGAGCCCAAUCACACAUGAGAAACGCGACAGAUGCUGGGACGCUGCAAUAGGCCAAACUAAC
Molecule: long non-coding RNA, 4991 nt
Filed under: Homo sapiens (human)
Lineage: Eukaryota; Metazoa; Chordata; Mammalia; Primates; Hominidae
Description: non-protein coding lnc-ZC2HC1B-1:1
Rfam family: Hydatidiform mole associated and imprinted conserved region 1 (bases 3488-3725)
Source: RNAcentral